AUGAGUUACGUAUGGAGAAGUCUGCUUCAAGGAGUAGAGGUUGUACGGCCAGGCAUGAUAUGGAGGGUGGGCUCGGGUGAGCAUAUCAAUAUCCGGUCGGACCCUUGGCUGCCUUCCAAUGACACACGGCUGCCUAGGACAUUGCAAGGUGCCAAUAUUCUGACAAAGGUGUCUAGGCUUCUGGAUCCUAUUACAAAUACAUGGGAUGGCCAGCUUGUUCAUCAGACUUUCUGUUCGGUGGAUGCAGCAACCAUUUUAAAUAUCCCAAUUUAUGAACACGAUGAUGAUUUCAUGGCCUGGUACUUCGACCCAAAGGGAUUGUUUUCUGUACGAUCUGCUUAUCGGCUGUACGUGGAUAUGCAGUCAAGACAACGUGUGCAGCAAAGGGGGGCUACCUCAUCGGGCUCUGAAGAAGUGGCGAGUUUCUAGAAGAGUUUAUGGGCGAUUCAGUGUCCUGGUAGAGUGCAUCGGUUCUUGUGGCGUCUUGCACAUAAUAGUCAUCCCCUGCCGCGGAAUGUGGAGCGUAUGGGUGUUGAUUUGGAUACUAAGUGUGUGAUCUGCCAACGCUUACCAGAAGAUGGUGCUCAUUUGUUUCUGCGAUGCAAGGAGGUUAAAAAAGUAUGGAGAUGUGGGGGUUUGGAGUAGAUCCGCCAACAGCUUCUCAUAUGCCAAUCACCAUUGGAAAUUCUUUAGGCCAUAUUUAAGCUUCCAGAAGGAAAGAAGUUGCGGGUCUUGUGCACCUUGUGGUCUUGGUGGUCGGAGAGGAACAAAAUGAAUCAUAAGAAAACGAGACUAUGA
RNAcentral lists this ribosomal RNA (798 nucleotides) under Triticum aestivum (bread wheat). Its description in RNAcentral is "partial small subunit ribosomal RNA". Lineage: Eukaryota; Viridiplantae; Streptophyta; Magnoliopsida; Poales; Poaceae. The record is from RNAcentral.